GGGCCGCUCCCGCGGCAUAUGGAGGUUCCCAGGCUAGGGGUCCAAUCAGAGCUGUAGCCACUGGCCUAAGCCAGAGCCACAGCAUCGCGGGAUCCAAGCCACGUCUGCAACCUACACCAUAGCACACGGCAACGCAGGAUCCUUAACCCACUGAGCAAGGGCAGGGACUGAACCCACAACCUCAUGGUUCCUAGUCGGAUUGUUAACGACUGCGCCACGAUGGGAACUCCCUAUCUUGAUUUUUUUAAAAAAAUAAACAUCAUCUGCAAUGUAAAAAUAUUGCAACAUUUUGAGGAGUACAAGAAUAUCUUAUCUUGCAGUUCCCGUUAUGGCUCAGCAGUUAAAUCUGACUAGCAUCCAGGUGGACGCAGAUUUGAUCCCUGGGUUAAGGAUCGCAGUGGGUUAAGGAUCCAGUGUUGCCAUUAGCUGUGAUAUAGGUUGCAGAGCGGCUUGGAUCCUGAAUUGCUGUGGCUGUGGUGUUGGCCAGCAGCUACAGCUUUGAUUUGACCCCUAGCCUGGGACCCUCCAUAUGCCACAGGUGAGGCCCUAAAAGCAAAAUAAAACAAAACAAAGAUUAUCUUAUCUCAUCAGUUCUAUUCCAUGAUGUACUAGAGGCUCUAGCUACAACAAUUCAAAAGUCAUAAAUAUUGGAAAUGAAAAAGUAAAACUAUCAUUAUUUACAACUGACAUGACUGUAUAUACACAAAAUCCUACAGAAUUUUUAAAAACACCACCAGCAACUCCAGUAAAUACAAACUAAAUCCACAAAUAUAUCGACCGUAUUUUUACGUACUAUCAACAAGCAGUUGAAAAAGUAGAAUUAAAAACAAUCCAAUAGGAGUUCCUGUCAUGGCUCAGUGGGUGACGAACCCACUAGUACCCAAGAGGAUGAAGGCUAGAUCCCUAGCGUGGCUUGUGGGUUAAGCAUCUGGUGUUGCCAUGAGCUGUUGUGUAGGUCACAGGUACAGCAAGGAUCCUGCGUUGCUAUGGCUGGGGCAUAGGCCUGAAGCUGCAACUGAUUUGACCCCUAACCUAGGGACUUCCAUAGGCCACAGGUGCAGCCCUGAAAAUAAAUUUUAAAAAGCAAAAUAAAUAAAUAAAUAAUAAAGACAAUCCAAUAAUGCAACGAAAAUACAUCAAAUACUCAGAAAUACAUUUAAGCAAAGAAGUGUAAGAUAGCUAUACUAAAUAUUACAAAAUAUUUCUAAAAUUAAAUGAGACCUAAGUAAGUGGAUAGAUUUACCAUUUUCAUAACUGCAGAUUCAACAUUGCUAAGACUCAGACUCCUCAAACUGAUCUACACUAAAAGGAAAUAUUUGUAAAAAUCCCAGCAGGCUUCAGUUAAAAAACAAGUUGAAAUGCUUCUAAAGUUUACACAUAGGCGUUCCCAUCAUGGCUCAGUGGAAAUGACUCUGACUAGUAUCCAUGAGAAGGCAGGUUCGAUCCCUGACCUCACUCAGCAGAUUAAGGAUCCGGCAUUGCAGUGAGCUAUGGUGUAGGUCGCAGACAUGGCUCAAAACAUGAGUUGCUGUGGCUGCGGUGUAGGUCAGCAGCUACAGCUCCGAUUCAACCUCUAGCCUGAGACCCUCCAUAUUCUGCGGGCUCAGCCCUAAAAAGAGAAAAAAAAUUAGAAUAAAAAAUAAAUAAAGUCUACACCGAAAAGUAAAGAAUCUAGAAUGAUCCAAACAAUCUUCACAAAUAAACACAGAAGACUUAAACCACUGGAUUUCAAAUCUUAAAAAAUGUACAAUAACUAACACUGCACAACUGCUAUAAAGAUAGGUAAUCAGAUUGAUGAAACAAAAUAUACAGGCACAGACUUCCUCACAUAAAGUUCAAUGAUUUUGAAUCAAAGUGCCAACUCAGUGCAUCAAAGUCUUUAACAAAUGUGACAAGAAUCACUAGAAAAAAGUGAAGCUCAAGCACUAACUACGCUUCCAUAUAUGAAAAUUAAAGCAAGACGCAACAAUUUCUAAAAAGGUAGAACAACAGGAAAGUUUUGUCACACUCCUAAGGAUAAGCAAAGAAUCCUUAGGAUACCAAAACAGGAACUACAGAAGGAAAAAAAUAAACUUCAGACUUUACCAAAAUUAAAACUUGAUCUCCAUUAAGGAUAUAAAAAGGCAAGCCACAGACUGGAAGAAAAUAUUCACAAAGGACUAGUAUAACAUACACACACUAGAAAUAAAUAUCCCCAACGGGGAUCUGAGGGAGGGGGUGAGGAAAGGGGUCAACACUUCACAGGAAUCUCAACAUGACAAGGUCACUGCUCAGUGAAAGAGGCUGGGAUGCUUCCACACACAUUCCCUGAGGUCUCUACACCAUGAGAUGCACGGUCAGUGGUGCUGAGACAAGGAAAGGCAGUUCCACUCUUGCUUCUCUAAAAGCCAGUGACCCGCCCCUUAUGCUGAGUCUCAGGCUGGCUUUGUUCUCAGUGUCCAGAGGCAGCAGCUCCUUCUCCUGCGCUCCCCCCUCUGGGAAGGAAUGACUGAGGGCACCUGCUUCCCAUUUUCUUUUUCUUGGGCAUUUUCACUUUCUAGGGCUGCAGUCGCUGUGUUUUGUGUGCGGGGAGGAGGGAAUGACACGUUCCAUUUGGUCCCACCACUGCAGCACUGGGGGCUCAAGGAGCCUCAGGACUAGCCCUUUGUGUCCAGGAAAGGAGAUGAAAAGUGGGUUUUUUAGGCAAAGCCAAGCUGUUGAUUAUUUUUUUUCUUUUUUCUGUAUGAGGGCUGUGUGGGGAGGAAAGGUUUUGCAAUUUAGUUUUCCUCAAUAAAUUAUUGCAUUUUGCUGAGGGUAGCUGAGUUCAAUUUUGCAUGCUCAGAGCAGUGCCUUUUUUUUUUUAAUUAAAAUGCCUAAAUCCAACAUCUGCAUCUUAGCUUCAUGUUUACUUGCUUUUGUAGUAUGAAGAUUUCUUGGAAGUGAUGAUAUUAAUGACAAGAACUGUAGAUAAUUGAAACUCCUUACUCAAUGUUAUCCUGGACUUUGGCAAAUUGUAUGAAAAGUUACAUUAAUUUGAAAUAUUUAAUGCUCAAUGGUCUAUUUUGGAAAAUAAUUGAUUUUUAUUCUGUGAGUCUAUAUGGGAAAGUGUCCAUUAACAUCUUCAAGCAUUACAAACCUAUAAUACAAAUUCAUGAGGUGAUAUUAUGUCCCUGGAAACUGCCUGUAACAAUAACUUCAAUGCAACAUAAUGCCAUUAUAAGUCCAUUUCUCCCACUUAAAAAGACAUAUGGUUUUUUUAAAUGUAACUGCCCCUUACUGAGUGCUCAACAUGCACUUAGAUGUUACGCUAAGAAUUUUAUUAACAGGACUUCACUGUGUCUUCCCAACAACCCUCAUGAAGUUGGUCUUAUUUCCCUACUUUACAGAGAAGGAAAGUGCGGCUUUGUGGGGCAGAGGCAGGAAGGGGGGAGCCAGGACUCAAGGGUGGAAAGGGAGACCGCGGCCUCGCUCCACCACUCUCACAGCGCUGACCUCACACAUGGUUGUCAGGGGGAAGCGCACCACACAAACAGUUUUCUUCAUGCUGCCUGCCUUCCUCCUCUGGAAGGCGAAUGGCUCCAGUUUAGCCACGAACCACAAUGUGACUGGACAGGCCACAGAUAUGGGAGGGAUGAGUCAGUGCAUGCGAUGGCGUCCACACUUCUGAUUCCCCUCUGCAAGGACAGGGCCUCUGAAUGUCUUUGCCUUAGGGUUGGGCUGACCUGCAGUGGGGACCACUGCUCAGAAUCCAGGGUUUUCUUUAGCCAUCCUUGGCAUCACUCUUACAAACCAGUAAAUAAACUGUCUGAGAUUUUAUUUAAGGGAAUGAGAAAGUAUUAGAUGAGGGAAAGUAUAGAGAAGAACACUUUACACUUUAGAAGUGAUGCAAUUAAAAAUGAAAAUGAUCAGGUAUCUUCCAAAGCUUAUCAAAUAUACCAAGGAUGAGCAGAAUUAGCAAAGAUGAGUUCAAACACACUGGGCACUACGUCCUUUAAAACAAAACUGAACAACCCUCUUCAAGCCCUUUCCUGACCCCACUCUCAGCAGAUGACAGAAAGAAAAGACUGGCUCUCACAGGGAACUCAGCUUCUGGCAGCACCUCCUGCCCUCCACCCACAGGGGCCUUUUCCUCUCAUCUGGGAUCAAAGGUCACCUCCUGGAAGCUCCGCCCACCUCCUCCUGGACCAGGCUCCCCACUGCCUCCAACCCCACAGCCAGUUUGCCUUCCAGGACUUUCUGCACAGCCCUCUCGCACAAUCAGGAUCCAAAGGCAGCAAGGGGGGAGUCUCUGGAUGCCCCCCACCCUUCGGGCGGCUGGAGGAGACCCAUGAGGGGAGGGCUUCGUGCCUGACUCCUCCCUGAGCCUCAGGGCCUCAACACUGGUCCCUGUUUGGUGAAGGGAAGGAGGCAGAGAGGGAAAUACCACCACGUCCUCCUCUGAUCCACAAACUAAACCCAACAAGCAGCAGCCCCUCCUCAGAGCCUUCAUUCCCAACAGGCCUCCCUCCUGUUUCAGUCAGACUCCUUCAGAGCAGCCUGCCUGCACCUCCGCUCCCUCCAGUCUCAGCCCUUUGCCCUCUGGCAUCCUCCCAGCUGAAACCUUCUCCUCUGGUCACCACAGGCCUCCUGGUCCCACAUCAGCCAGCAACUCUCCACGGACAUAGCUUCUCCUUUGCCUUGAAGAGACCGUUCCUUCCUCGGUUCCCCAACCUAUUCCCUCCUCUCUUCCCUGCUGUUCAUAUGUGUCUCCUCUGCUCUUGCUCUGAAUAGAAAGGCUUCCAUAACCUUCUGAUCUUGGCCCCUAAAAAUACUUCCCCCCUCUCUCUCUGGCAAGCUUACCCAUCUUCACAGAUUCAGCUACUACCUGCUCAGUGAGGAAUAUGCUGGUACCUGCUCACCCCAGGUCUCUCUCACACACCAGAUUCUCACUUCCAAUUAGAUAAAGUAUGUCUGCACCUGAAGGUCCCAAAACGUCAAGAUAAUUGACCUAAAAGUGACAGAACUGGGAUUGGAAAUCAGUGAGACUAGAGUUUUCUCUCCUCACACCACUGAGAAUGUUUUACACGGAAAUCAGGUAGCAUCCAUAAGUGUCCUUCACACCAAGGAAAAAUAUGUUACAGUUUCUGAUUUUGAGGACUAAUUAACCAUGUGCUCAGCACACAGUGGGCAGCCAGCUCUGCAAACCCAAGCUUGCUCUAACUUGCAGAAGCAGAGACACAGGACCUUUCACAAAAUGUUUUCAAAUUAAUUAACAAUCACUGUCAAAAUGGGUUUGUAGGGAAACACCGUUUCUGAGGAUAAAUUAUGUAGCUAAACUGAGCAGGAUACAUUAUAAAACAAGUUUGCAGAAAACAAAAAAAUAAAAUCUCUCUGUAGUAA
This 5358-nucleotide long non-coding RNA is filed under the name Sus scrofa (pig). RNAcentral describes it as "lncRNA (ENSSSCG00000052661.1)". The record is from RNAcentral. Lineage: Eukaryota; Metazoa; Chordata; Mammalia; Artiodactyla; Suidae.